AUUUAUCAAGUGCUUUCUAUGGUCCAUGUUGUGCUAAGAGCUUUAUGUGGAUUUUUUUCAGUUCAUCCUCACAACCUCAUGUGGUAGACACUAUUUUUAUUCCAUUCUUUUAUAGAUUAUUAAAUUGAAAAUUCAAGAGGAUGGAAGUGCAUGUUGUAGAGGAUAAAGUCUGUCCUGCAUGCUGUGCAGUGUCCUGAUGAUACUGGCCCGGACUCACUGAUGCUGCCAUGUCCUCAUGGUCUCUAAGUGAUUUGAUACCUCUGUGUGCUGUCUCACAGUCUCUUGGCCUCACUUCUGACUCCAACUAUGGCUAUGGCAAACAGUUCUUGUGGCCUUUGACUCACU
RNAcentral lists this long non-coding RNA (345 nucleotides) under Equus asinus (donkey). RNAcentral's name for it is "lncRNA (ENSEASG00005028975.1)". Lineage: Eukaryota; Metazoa; Chordata; Mammalia; Perissodactyla; Equidae. The record is from RNAcentral.